RNAcentral lists this ribosomal RNA (423 nucleotides) under Penicillium citrinum. RNAcentral's name for it is "eukaryotic LSU rRNA". The stretch from base 76 to 229 matches the Rfam family "5.8S ribosomal RNA". The record is from RNAcentral. Lineage: Eukaryota; Fungi; Ascomycota; Eurotiomycetes; Eurotiales; Aspergillaceae.
GGCCGGGCCCCCGCCGACGGCCCCCCUGAACGCUGUCUGAAGUUGCAGUCUGAGACCUAUAACGAAAUUAGUUAAAACUUUCAACAACGGAUCUCUUGGUUCCGGCAUCGAUGAAGAACGCAGCGAAAUGCGAUAACUAAUGUGAAUUGCAGAAUUCAGUGAAUCAUCGAGUCUUUGAACGCACAUUGCGCCCUCUGGUAUUCCGGAGGGCAUGCCUGUCCGAGCGUCAUUGCUGCCCUCAAGCCCGGCUUGUGUGUUGGGCCCCGUCCCCCCCGCCGGGGGGACGGGCCCGAAAGGCAGCGGCGGCACCGCGUCCGGUCCUCGAGCGUAUGGGGCUUCGUCACCCGCUCUAGUAGGCCCGGCCGGCGCCAGCCGACCCCCAACCUUUAAUUAUCUCAGGUUGACCUCGGAUCAGGGUACGGA